AGCCACACCUGUGUUCUAUGGCUUUCUAUUCCUAUGUGAUUUCUCUCUGGUAUGUCAUGUAGGGUUUAAAGCCAUUGGGUACAGAGUGGAAA
Non-coding RNA from Salmo salar (Atlantic salmon), 92 nucleotides. NCBI's taxonomy places the organism in Eukaryota, Metazoa, Chordata, Actinopteri, Salmoniformes, Salmonidae. The record is from Rfam.